This 1476-nucleotide ribosomal RNA is filed under the name metagenome. RNAcentral describes it as "bacterial SSU rRNA". It matches the Rfam family "Bacterial small subunit ribosomal RNA". The record is from RNAcentral.
AGAGCUUGAUCCUGGCUCAGGACGAACGCUGGCGGCUCGCCUAACACAUGCAAGUCGAACGAGCGAGAGAGAGCUUGCUUUCUCGAGCGAGUGGCGAACGGGUGAGUAACGCGUGAGGAACCUGCCUCAAAGAGAGGGACAACAGUUGGAAACGACUGCUAAUACCGCAUAAGCCCACGACCCGGCAUCGGGUAGAGGGAAAAGGAGCAAUCCGCUUUGAGAUGGCCUCGCGUCCGAUUAGCUAGUUGGUGAGGUAACGGCCUACCAAGGCGACGAUCGGUAGCCGGACUGAGAGGUUGAACGGCCACAUUGGGACUGAGACACGGCCCAGACUCCUACGGGAGGCAGCAGUGGGGAAUAUUGCACAAUGGGGGAAACCCUGAUGCAGCGACGCCGCGUGGAGGAAGAAGGUCUUCGGAUUGUAAACUCCUGUUGUUGAGGAGGAUAAUGACGGUACUCAACAAGGAAGUGACGGCUAACUACGUGCCAGCAGCCGCGGUAAAACGUAGGUCACAAGCGUUGUCCGGAAUUACUGGGUGUAAAGGGAGCGCAGGCGGGAAGACAAGUUGGAAGUGAAAUCCAUGGGCUCAACCCAUGAACUGCUUUCAAAACUGUUUUUCUUGAGUAGUGCAGAGGUAGGCGGAAUUCCCGGUGUAGCGGUGGAAUGCGUAGAUAUCGGGAGGAACACCAGUGGCGAAGGCGGCCUACUGGGCACCAACUGACGCUGAGGCUCGAAAGUGUGGGUAGCAAACAGGAUUAGAUACCCUGGUAGUCCACACUGUAAACGAUGAUUACUAGGUGUUGGAGGAUUGACCCCUUCAGUGCCGCAGUUAACACAAUAAGUAAUCCACCUGGGGAGUACGACCGCAAGGUUGAAACUCAAAGGAAUUGACGGGGGCCCGCACAAGCAGUGGAGUAUGUGGUUUAAUUCGACGCAACGCGAAGAACCUUACCAAGUCUUGACAUCCCUUGACGAUGCUGGAAACAGUAUUUCUCUUCGGAGCAAGGAGACAGGUGGUGCAUGGUUGUCGUCAGCUCGUGUCGUGAGAUGUUGGGUUAAGUCCCGCAACGAGCGCAACCCUUAUCCUCAGUAGCCAGCAGGUCAAGCUGGGCACUCUGUGGAGACUGCCAGGGAUAACCUGGAGGAAGGUGGGGAUGACGUCAAAUCAUCAUGCCCCUUAUGAUCUGGGCUACACACGUGCUACAAUGGCGUAAACAAAGGGAGGCAAAGCCGCGAGGUGGAGCAAAUCCCAAAAAUAACGUCUCAGUUCGGACUGCAGUCUGCAACUCGACUGCACGAAGCUGGAAUCGCUAGUAAUCGCGAAUCAGAAUGUCGCGGUGAAUACGUUCCCGGGUCUUGUACACACCGCCCGUCACACCAUGGGAGUUGGUAACGCCCGAAGUCAGUGACCCAACCUUUUAGGAGGGAGCUGCCGAAGGCGGGACUGAUAACUGGGGUGAAGUCGUAACAAGGUA